UGCGCGUGCCGGCCAACCGUCGACGGGAGGCGGCGAGAAUAUAUGGAGUGGGAUGGACGCCGUCGCGAUGUUGCUGUUGCUGCUGGGCAGUGUAAAUGUUGCCUCGGCGGUGUGGAGAUACUCCAACAAAAUGGAAAGUCGAAUUACCAUAAAUACACGAAGGAGUGAGACGCAUCUCAUAACAGGCUGGAUUGGUCAAUUAUAUCAUUUUACUUUUCUUCCAAAGCAAGAGGAACUGCAAUCCUAAUUCGCAAAGGUAUACCAAUUAAACACAAAUCCGCUAUAGCCGAUAAGGAAGGUACAUUAUAAUAUCCGGGGAACUACACUCAACCACAC
This is a long non-coding RNA of Amblyraja radiata (thorny skate), 336 nucleotides long. RefSeq lists it as uncharacterized. The transcript has 3 exons. The record is from RefSeq and is a predicted model, not a curated record. Lineage: Eukaryota; Metazoa; Chordata; Chondrichthyes; Rajiformes; Rajidae.